CCGCAACCUCAGCUCAGCCAUGCAUGUGUAAGUAUAAAUAAUUCUACUUUGAAACUGCGAAUGGCUCAUUAUAUCAGUUAUAGUUUAUUAGAAAAAAUGUACUACUUGGAUAACCGUAGUAAUUCUAGGGCUAAUACAUGAAUGAAUCCUCGACUUUGAAGAGGUGUGUUUAUUAGUAUGAAAACCAUAUGCUUCGGCAUGAUAGUGAGUAAUAAUAACCUUUCGUAUCGUAUGUUGACAUAACGAUAGUUCUUUCAAGUUUCUGCCCUAUCAGCUUUCGAUGGUAGUGUAUUGGACUACCAUGGCAGUAACGGGUAACGAAGAAUUUGGGUUCGAUUUCGGAGAGGGAGCCUGAGAGAUGGCUACCACAUCCAAGGAAGGCAGCAGGCGCGUAAAUUACCCAAUCCUGACAUAGGGAGGUAGUGACAAUAAAUCACAAUGCGGGACUAUUUAUUUUUGCAUUGGAAUUGAAAACAUGGUACAAAAUUUAUCAAUAAACAAUUGAAGGGCAAGUCGGGUGCCACCACCCGCGGUAAUUCCACCUCCAAUACCGAAAAUAAACGUUGUGGCAUUAAAAAAACCCUA
This 585-nucleotide ribosomal RNA is filed under the name Blastocystis sp. Its description in RNAcentral is "SSU rRNA". It matches the Rfam family "Eukaryotic small subunit ribosomal RNA", at positions 28 to 632 of the family's 1831-position model. Lineage: Eukaryota; Bigyra; Opalinata; Blastocystidae. The record is from RNAcentral.